Molecule: unclassified non-coding RNA, 1724 nt
Filed under: Hevea brasiliensis (rubber tree)
Lineage: Eukaryota; Viridiplantae; Streptophyta; Magnoliopsida; Malpighiales; Euphorbiaceae
Source: RNAcentral
UUUUCGUGCUGCUUUUCAGAUGGUACGCUGUGUUAUCUUUCGUUAUUGUAAUUUCUUUAUAUUUGCUCUACUUUUAACUCUUGGAAAUGUGGUUAGAGUUGGUAUUUCUUUUGUUUACUUUUGAUUUUGUCUUUGCAUCUUUUUAUAUGUGUGGUUGUGAGCAUGUAUACUAUGCGCAAUUUUAUUUGGUGUAUUGUUAAAAAGAUUUCAUGGUUUUUAUAUUUGCCUUCUUGUUCUUUACUGUUUUCAAGCUUAUCACAUAAUCAACUUCCAAACUUUUACGCUUGAGCUCCUUACAUGGUGCUCAUUAAACUAAUUAGAAAAAAGAGUUCAUUUCAAAUGAUGAUGAAUGCUUCAUAUUUUUAACAAUUUUGCCUUUGACAACAUUAUUUCAAUUAACCAUCUAUACUACUAGACCAUGUGUUUGUUGUUGGUAAUCAGAAGAUACUUGUUAAAAUACGUUUAGUAUUCUUCAUGAGUUGUGCUAAAAAUGGAACAUUAAACUUCUUUUGAUGCUUGAAACAAUAUUUUUAGGCAACUGAAUGAGGAGCGAAAGUUUAAUUUAGUGGCGUGUUACUAUUCACCAUAGUGUAUCAUUUUUUAAAUUAUCGUCUUUUAUGUCUUCUCUUAAUCUUUGAUUUCACUAUAUUGGAUGUUGAGAUUAUAUUGUAUUUAAAAAGGGCCAAGAUGUAAUUCUAUUAAGAUUUUAUGGUAUAAAUAGGGUUGUAAUAAUCAGUUUUGAAGGUUCUUUAAGUAAUGAAACCAAUUUACUGAUAGUUUAUUCUCCUGGUUCUAUAACCAGAAAAUUCAACCUAUUUGGUUGAUUGAGUGAUUUCAUUGUUCUCUUGUUUUGAUAUAUAUAUAUAUAUAUCAAAACAAGAGAACAAUGAAAUCACUCAAUCAACCAAAUAGGUUGAAUUUUCUGGUUAUAGAACCAGGAGAAUAAACUAUCAGUAAAUUGGUUUCAUUACUUAAAGAACCUUCAAAACUGAUUAUUACAACCCUAUUUAUACCAUAAAAUCUUAAUAGAAUUACAUCUUGGCCCUUUUUAAAUACAAUAUAAUCUCAACAUCCAAUAUAGUGAAAUCAAAGAUUAAGAGAAGACAUAAAAGACGAUAAUUUAAAAAAUGAUACACUAUGGUGAAUAGUAACACGCCACUAAAUUAAACUUUCGCUCCUCAUUCAGUUGCCUAAAAAUAUUGUUUCAAGCAUCAAAAGAAGUUUAAUGUUCCAUUUUUAGCACAACUCAUGAAGAAUACUAAACGUAUUUUAACAAGUAUCUUCUGAUUACCAACAACAAACACAUGGUCUAGUAGUAUAGAUGGUUAAUUGAAAUAAUGUUGUCAAAGGCAAAAUUGUUAAAAAUAUGAAGCAUUCAUCAUCAUUUGAAAUGAACUCUUUUUUCUAAUUAGUUUAAUGAGCACCAUGUAAGGAGCUCAAGCGUAAAAGUUUGGAAGUUGAUUAUGUGAUAAGCUUGAAAACAGUAAAGAACAAGAAGGCAAAUAUAAAAACCAUGAAAUCUUUUUAACAAUACACCAAAUAAAAUUGCGCAUAGUAUACAUGCUCACAACCACACAUAUAAAAAGAUGCAAAGACAAAAUCAAAAGUAAACAAAAGAAAUACCAACUCUAACCACAUUUCCAAGAGUUAAAAGUAGAGCAAAUAUAAAGAAAUUACAAUAACGAAAGAUAACACAGCGUACCAUCUGAAAAGCAGCACGAAAA